Hydra vulgaris (swiftwater hydra) is the source of this 314-nucleotide long non-coding RNA. RefSeq lists it as uncharacterized. The record is from RefSeq and is a predicted model, not a curated record. NCBI's taxonomy places the organism in Eukaryota, Metazoa, Cnidaria, Hydrozoa, Anthoathecata, Hydridae.
UUAACUUUAAAAAGAUGCAAAGAAGUAGGUAGAUCAAAAUUAAAAUUAGGCAAAACAAUUUUGUUCCAGAGAUGGGGUGCACGAUAAUCAAUGCAAAAUUGGAUUCAAGAAUUUGAGUUGAAUGAUAGAAAUAUUGGGAAAUGAUCAGUUAUAUCUGCUUUCAAUAUACCUUUUUGUAUUUUGUUAUUGAAGACAUCAGUUGUAAUAAUGUUAUCAAUGAGAGUUGCUGAGUUUGCUGAUUCUCUAGUUGGACGAUUAAUUAGGGGAAUCGCUCCUAUUUUAAAUAUUAAAUCAUAAAAUAUUUUGAUUUCACA